Molecule: long non-coding RNA, 220 nt
Organism: Ixodes scapularis (black-legged tick)
Lineage: Eukaryota; Metazoa; Arthropoda; Arachnida; Ixodida; Ixodidae
Exons: 3
Source: RefSeq, a predicted model, not a curated record
UGGCACAGCACCAAGGACACCUGCAAUGCCUGCAGCCCAGCCUCCGACACCAGUGUCUUCCCAAGGCUCUCAGUUUCCUGGCAGAGCACUGCGUCCACCUCCAGUGCCCGCAGCUAAGACUCCGGCAGCAGUGUCUUCCCAAGGCUCCGAGCUUCCUGGUACAGCACUACGACCAUCUCCAGUGCCUGCAGCUAAGUCUCCAGCAGCAUUGUCUUCCCAA